AGUUUGAUCUCAGACUGCUGUGCUAGCAAUCAGCGAGACUCCCUGUGAGUAGGACCCUCCGAGCCAGGUGCGGCUUAUAAUCUCGUGGUGCGCCGUUUUUUAAGCCGGUCGGAAAAGCGCAGUAUUCGGGUGGGAGUGACCCGAUUUUCCAGGGAUGGAAGAAGAUACUUGGAAAAAUCAGGGAAGAGUGAAGAAGAUACUUCAAAAAAUCGGGGAAGAUUUUCAUCAUAAGGUCCAAGCAAAGGCAUGAGUAUAAGAUAUUCCUGAGCCUGAGUCUACUGACAAAUAUACCACAUCCCCAGAGUAAGUUGGAGUCUCUUAAAAUUGUCUUGCUGGCAUCUAGCGGAGAUUGUCCCCACAAGCAUGUUCCUUAUGACGGAUGCCUGGGUCAGAACACAUAAUACAUUCCUUUUUAUAAGCACAAAGAUUCUGAGAAGCACUGCCCCUCCCACGUGUCACACUCUGGGGAGAGAUUAUUGGAAUGCCUCUUGGAUCAGGUAUCUUUGGUGAUCAUUCCACCUAGUUAAGAUGAAGCUGGUGAUAGCCUUUGGCUUGUUUCAGAUCAGUGCUUGAGAUAUUGUGCAGACCCUGAACUUGAUGGAUCAGCUGGCACCACCCAGAUGGAUAAACUGGCUCAUCUGAUCUUGUGGCACCCAACCCAGGAACUGACUCAGCGCAAGAGGACAGCUUCAACUCCCUAUGAUUUUAUCUCCGACCCAACUGAUCAGCACUCUUGACUCACUGGCCUUCCCCCAUCUGUUGUGGGACUUUUCCUUAGUUCACCUAAAAAUGCGGUCCUUGUCACACAGCCAUGAAAAUUUAGGCUCACAGACGAUUUGAAGAGUGAGAAAAAAUGGGAUUUCUUGGUUGAAAAGGAAAAAAAA
Long non-coding RNA from Homo sapiens (human), 884 nucleotides. Ensembl annotates it as long intergenic non-protein coding RNA 1876. The record is from Ensembl. NCBI's taxonomy places the organism in Eukaryota, Metazoa, Chordata, Mammalia, Primates, Hominidae.